This 497-nucleotide ribosomal RNA is filed under the name uncultured bacterium. Its description in RNAcentral is "partial 16S ribosomal RNA". It matches the Rfam family "Bacterial small subunit ribosomal RNA", at positions 28 to 507 of the family's 1533-position model. The record is from RNAcentral.
GAUGAACGCUGGCGGCGUGCCUAAUACAUGCAAGUCGAGCGAACAGAUGAGGAGCUUGCUCCUCUGACGUUAGCGGCGGACGGGUGAGUAACACGUGGAUAACCUACCUAUAAGACUGGGAUAACUUCGGGAAACCGGAGCUAAUACCGGAUAAUAUAUUGAACCGCAUGGUUCAAUAGUGAAAGACGGUUUUGCUGUCACUUAUAGAUGGAUCCGCGCCGCAUUAGCUAGUUGGUAAGGUAACGGCUUACCAAGGCAACGAUGCGUAGCCGACCUGAGAGGAGGAUCAGCAACAGUGGAACUGAGACACGGGCCAGAAGACUACGGGAGGAAGGAGUCGGGAAUAUUGGAGAAGGGGUGCGAGCCGGAAGGAGAAAUACAGAGUGAGUACAAAAGGUAUUAGGGUUGUAAAACGACUUUAUGAGGGAAGAACAGAAGGCGAUGAAUAACUGCCUGCCGGGAGGGUACCUAAAAAGAAAGCAAGCGCUAACUUCGUG